GACGAACGCUGGCGGCGUGCUUAACACAUGCCAGUCGAACGGAAAGGCCCUGCUCUUGUGGGGUGCUCGAGUGGCGAACGGGUGAGUAACACGCGAGUAACCUGCCCUUGACUUUGGGAUAACUUCAGGAAAAUGGGGCUAAUACCGGAUAGGAGCUCCUGCUGCAUGGGGGGGGAUGGAAAGAUGCGGCGGUUGGGGAUGGACUCGAGGCUUAGCAGCUUGUUGGUGGGGUAGUGGCUUACCAAGGCUAUGACGGGUAGCCGGCCUGGGAGGGUGACCGGCCACAGUGGGACUGGGAAGCGGCCCAGACUCAUACGGGAGGCAGCGGUGGGGAAUAUUGCACAAUGGGCGGAGGCCUGAAGCAGCAACGCCGCGUGCGGGAUGACGGCCUUCGGGUUGUAAACCGCUUUCGCCUGUGACGAAGCGUGAGUGACGGUAAUGGGUAAAGAAGCACCGGCUAACUACGU
This 467-nucleotide ribosomal RNA is filed under the name uncultured bacterium. RNAcentral describes it as "partial 16S ribosomal RNA". It matches the Rfam family "Bacterial small subunit ribosomal RNA", at positions 28 to 506 of the family's 1533-position model. The record is from RNAcentral.